This 434-nucleotide ribosomal RNA is filed under the name Chromodoris westraliensis. RNAcentral's name for it is "partial 16S ribosomal RNA". It matches the Rfam family "Bacterial large subunit ribosomal RNA", at positions 1817 to 2597 of the family's 2925-position model. Lineage: Eukaryota; Metazoa; Mollusca; Gastropoda; Nudibranchia; Chromodorididae. The record is from RNAcentral.
AGCCUUUGGAGAGGAUUAAAGGUUAUACCUGCCCAAUGUUAUAUUAAUGGCCGCGGUACUUUGACCGUGCUAAGGUAGCACAAUCAAUUGGCCCUUAAUUAGGGUCAGGUAUGAAUGGAGUUACGGGGUUUAGCUGUCUCUAAACUAUUUAAUUGAAGUUGCUAUAUAGGUGAAAAAGCCUAUAUUAAGAAAAAAGACGAGAAGACCCUUAGAGUUUUACUUAAGAAAGAAUUAUUUCUUCACUAGUUUUGUUGGGGCAACAUAGGAGAAGAAUUAAACCUCCUAAAGGAUAUAAACCGAUGCUUUUAAAUGUGAACAAACUACCUUAGGGAUAACAGCAUAAUUUUAAAAAUAAGUUUGUGACCUCGAUGUUGGACUAGGAAACUUAAGGGCUAGCCGCCUUUUGGUAAGGUUCUGUUCGAACUAUAAUUCCU